This 384-nucleotide ribosomal RNA is filed under the name uncultured bacterium. Its description in RNAcentral is "bacterial SSU rRNA". It matches the Rfam family "Bacterial small subunit ribosomal RNA", at positions 28 to 416 of the family's 1533-position model. The record is from RNAcentral.
GACGAACGCUGGCGGCGUGCUUAACACAUGCAAGUCGAACGAUGAAGCCCAGCUUGCUGGGUGGAUUAGUGGCGAACGGGUGAGUAACACGUGGGUGAUCUGCCCUGCACUCUGGGAUAAGCCUGGGAAACUGGGUCUAAUACCGGAUAUGACCUCUUGCUGCAUGGCGAGGGUGGAAAGUUUUCGGUGCAGGAUGAGCCGCGGCCUAUCAGCUUGUUGGUGGGGUAAUGGCCUACCAAGGCGACGACGGGUAGUCGGCCUGAGAGGGCGACCGGCCACACUGGGACUGAGACACGGCCCAGACUCCUACGGGAGGCAGCAGUGGGGAAUAUUGCACAAUGGGCGAAAGCCUGAUGCAGCGACGCCGCGUGAGGGAUGACGGCC